CACAUACGUUUUGUGUUUGGUGCUUCAGACUUCCUCCUGGCUGGAGGCAAGCAGAGGGAGCUCAGCUGUGCCCAAUUAUGGUCAGAGACACAUGGAGGGUAGAGCUUAAAAGCAGUGCAAGAGGUCAGAUGUUCACUGUGGCUUGGAGAUGGGUCUGUGUCUUUGUGCUUUGUUCUGAUUUAGUUUUGUUUUUUUUUUUUUAACCAUUCCUGAAGUUUUUGAGGCCGAUUCCAGCUUAUUCUGCAUUAGUUCUGUACUAAUGUUGUUCCACUGAAUCUUGAUUUUAUGAAGACUCUUCUCCAAAUGACCAAAUGCAAAACUUGACAUUGCCUUGUCCAAAUGUAUGAGACAGUCAGAAUGCAUAAGUGAUGGUAAUUACUCUGAAAUCAAUGACCCAAACUCUGACAAUUUGGACUGGCUGCAGGUCUGCCUGUACUGAUUUUUCAUAUGGUAGGUACAGAUUGGGCAAUAGCGAGACUGGCUUCCCAUGCAAGGCAAUUGCUUCUCCACCCUGAUCAAAAGGGAUUAUUCCCUGAUCAGAGUUGAAAGAGAUGAUUAAUCUCAUACAUUGUUCAGUCUCGGGUCCUUGUAUAGUGGUCAGCAGCUCAUGAAAAGCCUGAGAGGGGAGCACCACCACCUUUCCUCCCCUUGGCUGCCAGGCAACAACAACUUUGUCACUACUCACCUGGUCUAGGCUCGUGCCAUAGUCUGGAGGUAACGGAUACACAAGCACCAGUGAGUCUUUUGAAUUGCCUAGUUCCCACUUCUUCACCUAAGUUAUACUUUUUAAGGCUAUUUACCAAAAUUACACAAAGUAUUCUUUGAAGAAGAAAGUUUCUGCUUUUCAAGGGCAUCAUUCGUUAUGUCUUCUCUUUGAAAAUUGCAGGUGCAUUAUAUAACUGCUAUGGGUGUUAUUUAUUAUUAUCUCUACUGGGAAAUCAGUUGGUGCUGCAGAGGAUAACAACAAACUCUCAGAGCAAAGAGGAGAUGAUAUUCUCCUGUGGUGAUAGUGGUGACACUGAUAGAUGGUAAAUAGAUGGUCAGAGAAAACUUUACUAUUAGCUUAGCAGGAUUGACCUUAAACUACUAUGUAGGCUUAUAAAUAUUGUGAUUUCAGACUGACACCAAAGCAAAAGUAAUGGGUGCAGUACACAUGCAGGUUGCGUGCCAGCAUUAAAAUUGCAUUUGCAUCACUCUUGUUUGUUUUCAGAAAAAUACUCUUGGGUCUUCUUGCUUGAGUUGUGAAGCAGUAAUUUUGUUGUUUUAAUAUGAGCCUCUAAAGGCCUGAAGUGAAAUAGCAGCCACUAGUCCUUUACUGCUUUUGUAAACAAAAACCAAUAUGAUGAUAUACCAAAGUGUCUGGUCUCUGCAAACCUCAGCCACUGCAUCUACUGUGUAUCCCAUGAUCAAAAGCACAUGCCAAGGCUCCACUACAGACCUGGUCCCUGGUUUGUCCUUUAAGUUUGUCCUUUUUGUAGCUUUCAGCGCCGGUUGCAGUGAUCUCUCAAAGGAUUAUUUUCCUGUAAAGUCCUACAGAGGUCACAGUAACAUGACAGACUCUGCAAGGGACUGUAAAAACACACCAUGAGUAAUGGUACCUAAAUAGGAUGAGGUGCAAACCCUAUCUGUGGCAAGAAGGUAUCCCUUGGUAUUAUCUGUAACAAGGGUAUAAUGUCCUGAUUUAAUUCCAACUUGGGUAAUUACAUUGUCUAGUCGCAUUUGUUAGUGGUAUCACCAGGACAUAGUGUUCCUCAUUUACUGCUUUGGCUGUUGCUAACAAACUGUUCAGCUAUCACACUGUUAGCUAGUACUUAAACAUCAUCAUGGACAUUCUCAAAAUCUGUAAAAGAGGCAGAGCUGAUUGAGCAGGUCCACAUCACACUGCAGAAUUAGUUGUAUCUCAGAGAUAAAUGAGGUUUCUCCUUUAUUUAGCAUAGGCCUAAAUCUACUUCGUCUGAAUUUGGUAACAAACUGUGACUGAUUCCAGGAUAAACCUGGUUCCAGGGCUUCAUUGGAGGCGAACUUCGUACUUGCAGUGAGUAGUAAUUGCACUGUAUCUGUAAGAUAGUAAUGUUUUUCCAUGUGAUCUCACAAGUAACCUUCUCUGACUUCUUCAGGUCCUAGCCUUGCCAAUAAUAAAAACUUGUGUCAUUGUUUCCUGAAGGGCUGCAUUUGCAUUUUUGAGGAAACCUAGCAACACUCAUGAGGAAGAAAAACAAAAUGCAGCAGACUAUUAGAAACGCAAGACUGAAUUACGGUCUGCUGGGGAAAACUAAUCU
Long non-coding RNA from Pezoporus occidentalis (night parrot), 2279 nucleotides. RefSeq lists it as uncharacterized. NCBI's taxonomy places the organism in Eukaryota, Metazoa, Chordata, Aves, Psittaciformes, Psittacidae. The transcript is spliced from 3 exons. The record is from RefSeq and is a predicted model, not a curated record.